RNAcentral lists this ribosomal RNA (467 nucleotides) under uncultured bacterium. RNAcentral describes it as "partial 16S ribosomal RNA". It matches the Rfam family "Bacterial small subunit ribosomal RNA", at positions 28 to 507 of the family's 1533-position model. The record is from RNAcentral.
GACGAACGCUGGCGGCGUGCUUAACACAUGCAAGUCGAACGGAAAGGCUCCAGCUUGCUGGCGUACUCGAGUGGCGAACGGGUGAGUAACACGUGGGUAAUCUGCCCUGCACUCUGGGAUAAGCCUGGGAAACUGGGUCUAAUACUGGAUAUGACCUUUCUCCUUAUGGGGUUUGGUGGAAAGUUUUUCGGUGUAGGAUGAGCCCGCGGCCUAUCAGCUUGUUGGUGGGGUGAUGGCCUACCAAGGCGACGACGGGUAGCCGGCCUGAGAGGGUGAUCGGCCACAUUGGGACUGAGAUACGGCCCAGACUCCUACGGGAGGCAGCAGUAGGGAAUAUUGCACAAUGGGCGGAAGCCUGAUGCAGCGACGCCGCGUGAGGGAUGACGGCCUUCGGGUUGUAAACCUCUUUCAGCAGGGACGAAGCGUAAGUGACGGUACCUGCAGAAGAAGCACCGGCUAACUAUGUG